GAGAGAGAUGCCGCUCCUCCCGCCGCGGGUGUGUGCAUGUGGAGGUGGACGGGCGGCGAGAGCGCGCGGGGCGCGCCGCCGCGCUACAGCGGGACCGCGCCGCCAGGUGCCGGGGCCGCGGAACCCCCCGGGCCGCCCCUCGAAGCGGGGCUGUGCGCUGCCCCCCGGCCCCGCACCCCCUCCCCGUCGGGCACGCACACGCCGUACCGUGCUGUUCCAGCACCGUCGCAGCCACCACGUUUCUGACUCUUUUUUUUUAUGACAAAAAUGGUUUUUCUUUAUGUUUGCUUUCUCUUAACUCUGGGGCUCGCCCAAAGGAGAGCCUGUUCUGGCAAGGAGAGCAGAUUUUGGUGGAUCUGUUCCCCGAAAUGGCCACGGAAGAUCUGGCAUCAUCAUUGCCGAUUUCCUGUUUUGUUAUGCAAAAUGUAUAGAGUGGAAAUGCAGCAGUUGGUGCCAGAGGUCAAAGCAUUCUCAACGGGGGAAAGCCAUGGUUUUCAGAUAUAAGAGGGGGAUUUACUGCACAGAUGAUUUACUGUAACUUCUUGUUUCCGGAGUUAUCUCUAUAAAGUACUGUAGAAGCUUUCCAGCAUGGAAAAAAAUCCACCAACUUUAAAGAACAAGCCUGAAGCAAGAUGGCUUUGCGGCUGACAAGAGAGAUCGCAGGCCCUGGUUCUACUCUGCAGCACAUGGCCUGUACAGGAUGUACCAGGGCAAAGAGGAGAAGGAUGUCAAGAAUGUGCCACGACCUGCAGCCUCCGAAUGUUCUUCAGAUUAUAUUUCCGCUGCCUAAAAUGCAUCAGCAGCCAUGCUCAUUUCCAGAACAACUCUCUGAAGUACGAUGUCCUUUCCAGAGCCUGGAUAAUUCCCCUCUGAGCUGUCCUCCAGCACUGUAGGCUUACUCACUAACUUAAACUUAAUAGAAACCGCAGGUAUGCAACGAAGAGCACUGCGUUUGUAAUGAAGGUGAAUUUAAGUCAAAAUACAUGAAGCAUUUCCUUGCUUGAUUGCGUUAUCACACAUGGCUUGCUUCUCCAUGCACAGCUUAUGAAUGCUGUGUGAUUUGGGUUGCAUUUUAAAGUGAGAUUUUGUUUGCUUCUCUGCUUUCCUUUGCUCCUGCACUGCAAUGAUGCCUGCAAGAACAGGGGGGGGAGGGUAGGAGGAGUCAUGAGAGUGCCUACAGAAUUCUUUUUAUUUUAGUGCAUCCAUCACUUGCAUGCUUUAACUUACGUAUUAGUGCAUGUGUGAAAGAAGGGAAUAAAAGAGACAGGAUCAGAAGCA
This 1278-nucleotide long non-coding RNA is filed under the name Phasianus colchicus (ring-necked pheasant). RNAcentral's name for it is "lncRNA (ENSPCLG00000002908.1)". Lineage: Eukaryota; Metazoa; Chordata; Aves; Galliformes; Phasianidae. The record is from RNAcentral.